RNAcentral lists this ribosomal RNA (468 nucleotides) under uncultured bacterium. RNAcentral's name for it is "partial 16S ribosomal RNA". It matches the Rfam family "Bacterial small subunit ribosomal RNA", at positions 28 to 507 of the family's 1533-position model. The record is from RNAcentral.
GACGAACGCUGGCGGCGUGCUUAACACAUGCAAGUCGAACGGAAAGGCCCUGCUUUUGUGGGGUGCUCGAGUGGCGAACGGGUGAGUAACACGUGAGUAACCUGCCCUUGACUUUGGGAUAACUUCAGGAAACUGGGGCUAAUACCAGAUAGGAGCUCCUGCUGCAUGGUGGGGGUGGGAAAGUUUCGGCGGUUGGGGAUGGACGCGCGGCUUAUCAGCUUGUUGGUGGGGUAGUGGCUUACCAAGGCUUUGACGGGUAGCCGGCCUGAGAGGGUGACCGGCCACAUUGGGACUGAGAUACGGCCCAGACUCCUACGGGAGGCAGCAGUGGGGAAUAUUGCACAAUGGGCGGAAGCCUGAUGCAGCAACGCCGCGUGCGGGAUGACGGCCUUCGGGUUGUAAACCGCUUUCGCCUGUGACGAAGCGUGAGUGACGGUAAUGGGUAAAGAAGCACCGGCUAACUACGUG